RNAcentral lists this ribosomal RNA (617 nucleotides) under Corynebacterium sp. HMSC30G07. Its description in RNAcentral is "bacterial LSU rRNA". It matches the Rfam family "Bacterial large subunit ribosomal RNA", at positions 13 to 582 of the family's 2925-position model. The record is from RNAcentral. Lineage: Bacteria; Bacillati; Actinomycetota; Actinomycetes; Mycobacteriales; Corynebacteriaceae.
AAGGGCGUACGGUGGAUGCCUUGGCAUGCUGAGCCGAUGAAGGACGUGUGAGGCUGCGUUAAGCCUCGGGGAGUUGCCAACUAAGCGUUGAUCCGAGGAUGUCCGAAUGGGGAAACCUGGCACCAGUUAUGUGGUGUUACCUGCAGGUGAAUCUAUAGCCUGUAUGGGGGUGAACGCGGGGAAGUGAAACAUCUCAGUACCCGCAGGAGAAGAAAACAAUUGUGAUUCCGUUAGUAGUGGCGAGCGAACGCGGAUGAGGCUAAACCAUGUGUGUGUGAUACCUGGCAGGGGUUGCGCAUGUGGGGUUGUGGGGCGCAUCGUAAGUUAUCUGCUAGUGACUUGCUUGAUGUGGUUGUGUCAGCGGAAGCGCCUGGGAUGGUGCACCGGAGAAGGUGAUGAGUCCUGUACGCGAAGACAUAGCUGUGUUGGGUGUAUGUGUUUUUCCCCGAGUAGCAGCGGGCCCGUGAAAUCUGCUGUGAAUCUGCCGGGACCACCCGGUAAGCCUAAAUACUCAGUGUGACCGAUAGUGGAUAGUACCGUGAGGGAAUGGUGAAAAGUACCCCGGGAGGGGAGUGAAAGAGUUCCUGAAACCGUGCGCUUACAAUCCGUCAGAGCAC